ACGGAAGGCAGCAGUGAGGAAUAUUGGUCAAUGGACGGAAGUCUGAACCAGCCAAGUCGCGUGAAGGAUGAAGGUAUUAUGUAUUGUAAACUUCUUUAGACGCAGAGAAAUAAGCUCCACGCGUGGAGUGAUGCUAGUAUGCGUAGAAUAAGGAUCGGCUAACUCCGUGCCAGCAGCCGCGGUAAUACGGAGGAUCCGAGCGUUAUCCGGAUUUAUUGGGUUUAAAGGGUGCGCAGGCGGUCUUUUAAGUCAGUGGUUAAAUCGUGGAGCUCAACUCCAUCCCGCCAUUGAUACUGGGAGACUUGAUUGCGGUUGAGGUUGGCGGAAUUCGCCGUGUAGCGGUGAAAUGCAUAGAUAUGGCGAAGAACUCCGAUUGCGUAGGCAGCUGACCAAGCCGUAAAUGACGCUCAUGCACGAAAGUGCGGGGAUCGAACAGGAUUAGAUACCCUGGUA
This 453-nucleotide ribosomal RNA is filed under the name uncultured Porphyromonadaceae bacterium. Its description in RNAcentral is "partial 16S ribosomal RNA". It matches the Rfam family "Bacterial small subunit ribosomal RNA", at positions 341 to 792 of the family's 1533-position model. The record is from RNAcentral. Lineage: Bacteria; Pseudomonadati; Bacteroidota; Bacteroidia; Bacteroidales; Porphyromonadaceae.